Molecule: ribosomal RNA, 543 nt
Filed under: uncultured bacterium
Lineage: Bacteria
Description: bacterial SSU rRNA
Rfam family: Bacterial small subunit ribosomal RNA
Source: RNAcentral
UAACACAUGCAAGUCGAACGAGAAAGUGGAGCAAUCCAUGAGUAAAGUGGCGCACGGGUGAGUAACACGUGACUAACCUACCCUUGAGUGGGGGAUAACCUAGGGAAACCUGGGCUAAUACCGCAUAAUACCCACGGGUCAAAGGAGCAAUUCGCUCGAGGAGGGGGUCGCGGCCGAUUAGUUAGUUGGCGGGGUAACGGCCCACCAAGACGAUGAUCGGUAUCCGGCCUGAGAGGGCGCACGGACACACUGGAACUGAAACACGGUCCAGACUCCUACGGGAGGCAGCAGUGGGGAAUUUUGCGCAAUGGGGGAAACCCUGACGCAGCAACGCCGCGUGGAGGAUGAAGUCCUUCGGGACGUAAACUCCUUUCGACCGGGACGAUAAUGACGGUACCGGAAGAAGAAGCCCCGGCUAACUUCGUGCCAGCAGCCGCGGUAAUACGAGGGGGGCGAGCGUUGUUCGGAAUUAUUGGGCGUAAAGGGUGCGUANGCGGUUUGGUAAGUCUGAUGUGAAAUCUAUGGGCUCAACUCAUAGUCUGC